AGAGAGAGACAUGCGCGCAUAUCAAUAAGCGGAGGAAAAGAAACUAACAAGGAUUCCCCUAGUGACGGCGAGUGAAGCGGGAAGAGCUCAAAUUUGAAAUCUUAAAGGGUUUCCCUUUACGAAUUGUAGUUUAAAGAAGUGUUUUCUGUUGAGGUUUUGGUAAAAGUUCUUUGGAAUAGGACAUCAUAGAGGGUGAGAAUCCCGUAUUUGACCUUUACUUUCAACUUUGUGAUACACUUUCAAAGAGUCGGAUUGUUUGGGAAUGCAGUCCAAAAUGGGUGGUAAAUUUCAUCUAAAGCUAAAUAUUGGCGAGAGACCGAUAGCGAACAAGUACCGUGAGGGAAAGAUGAAAAGAACUUUGAAAAGAGAGUUAAACAGUACGUGAAAUUGUCAAAAGGGAAGCGUUUGACACCAGUGUUGUUUUUCUGAAAAUCAAUUAAAGAACUGUUUAUGCUAAGCUGUUUAGACUUUAUCAGCUAACUGUUUAGUUUUGAGCUUUUCUUUAAUGCACUUUUCAGUUAACAAGUCAACAUCAAUUUCUUUUGCUGUAAAAAAGCUUAAGGAAGGUGGCUUGAGAUUCGUCUUAAGUGUUUAUAGCCUCUUGCCUAUGCAGUCGGAGAGAUUGAGGUCUGCAGCGUAGAUCCUUCGGGGCUAAAUGCAUUUGUGCUAAGUUAUAGCAUUUUAUAGACAACUUGUUGACUAUGAUUUGUCUUGUAGCUUACUCGCUUAUGUUAUUUUACCUACGCUUAGGAUGUUGACGCAUAAGAUAUACGC
This 774-nucleotide ribosomal RNA is filed under the name uncultured Neocallimastigales. RNAcentral describes it as "partial large subunit ribosomal RNA". It matches the Rfam family "Eukaryotic large subunit ribosomal RNA", at positions 23 to 634 of the family's 3401-position model. The record is from RNAcentral. Lineage: Eukaryota; Fungi; Neocallimastigomycota; Neocallimastigomycetes; Neocallimastigales.